CCUGUAUGAAAGGCAAAAUGAGGGCCUAACUGUCUCUUAUAAUAAAUCAAUUAAACUGAUCCCCCAGUUCAAAAGCUGGGAUACACACAUAAGACCAGAAGACCCUGUGAAGCUUAAACUAAACUAUUAAAUCUCAUAAUAGCUCCUUUCGGUUGGGGCGACCUUGGAAAUAAAAAGAACUUCCAAACAAUGAUCUUACCUCAUACCACAGGCCAACAAGCCAUAAAUAGACCCAGUAUAGCUGACAAUUGAACCAAGUUACUCCAGGGAUAACAGCGCCAUCUUCUUCAAGAGCCCAUAUCAAAAAGAAGGUUUACGACCUCGAUGUUGGAUCAGGACAUCCUAUUGGUGCAGCAGCUAUUAAGGGUUCGUUUGUUCAACGAUUAACAGUCCUACGUGAUCU
Molecule: ribosomal RNA, 403 nt
Filed under: Alluaudina bellyi
Lineage: Eukaryota; Metazoa; Chordata; Lepidosauria; Squamata
Description: partial large subunit ribosomal RNA
Rfam family: Bacterial large subunit ribosomal RNA
Source: RNAcentral